This 446-nucleotide ribosomal RNA is filed under the name uncultured bacterium. RNAcentral's name for it is "bacterial SSU rRNA". It matches the Rfam family "Bacterial small subunit ribosomal RNA", at positions 329 to 792 of the family's 1533-position model. The record is from RNAcentral.
CGCCAGACUCCUACGGGAGGCAGCAGUGGGGGAUAUUGCACAAUGGGGGGAACCCUGAUGCAGCGACGCCGCGUGGGUGAAGGAGUGCUUCGGCAUGUAAAGCCCUAUCGGCAGGGAAGAAGCAAGACGGUACCUGACUAAGAAGCCCCGGCUAACUCCGUGCCAGCAGCCGCGGUAAUACGGAGGAUGCGAGCGUUAUCCGGAUUUAUUGGGUUUAAAGGGUGCGUAGGCGGUCCGGAAAGUCAGCGGAAAAAGCCCGGGCCACACCCCCGGCGAGCCGUUGAAACUGUCGGACUAGAGACGGCGAGAAGUACGCGGAAUGCGCGGUGUAGCGGUGAAAUGCAUAGAUAUCGCGCAGAACUCCGAUUGCGAAGGCAGCGUACCGGCGCCGGACUGACGCUGAGGCACGAAAGCGUGGGUAUCGAACAGGAUUAGAUACCCUAGUA